Molecule: long non-coding RNA, 3198 nt
Organism: Helianthus annuus (common sunflower)
Lineage: Eukaryota; Viridiplantae; Streptophyta; Magnoliopsida; Asterales; Asteraceae
Exons: 5
Source: RefSeq, a predicted model, not a curated record
GUAUGUAUGGAAUGAUUAUAAUUGUACAAACGUAAAUCAUGCGCCUCAUAUUUAUAUUUACGGACCCUAAAUCCAAAAUCACCCGAACCCUUUUGUUUGAUUAAUGAGCGAUUUCUUUAGAGAAAACAAGAAGAAUUGCGGGUUUAGGGUUUCUCAAUUGCAGAGUACAAAACCACACACCAUACAUCGGAUGUUUCAGAUGUCUGAACUUAAAAACCCCUCUUCGAGUAUUUAGGGUUUUUCAAUCAACUUGAUGUAGGCGAGAAUCACCAGGUCAUUGUUGUUGUAGAUGUUUCUGAAGCGGAACCAAGUCAUCGAAAGCCCUUCCAUAUGAUACAUCUGGUCAAACUUUAUGGCAUUUGAGAAACCACAGGGGCCCCACCUCAGCUGGUUGGCAGAUUUUCUAACACCUUGAAGUUUAUCGUCGAAAAGAUCCCUACACUCAUAUGAAAAACAAAAUGCAAUCAUCAGCCAAACUGUGAUCCUAUAUGUUGGUUCAAACCUGUAACACUCCUGGAGCUAACAGAAACUGAAACAGAUUAUGCAAUAAUGCUAUGGCCCACAUAUUCGACAAACUUGUCUCGAAAUACAGUACUGGGGCAGUUACUGACUUACUGGAUAUGUCAUAUAGUUGUGAGAGAUGCUUUUGAAGCGGAAGAAUUUGCUGAGGUGGCAACGAAGCCACUGAAAGCCCUUCUGUAUGACACACCUGGUUGAAGUUUAUGGCAUUUGAGUACCCCAUAAGGGGUCCCAGCUGUUGGCAGAUUUUUUGACGUGUUGAAGUUUAUCUUCAAAGAGGUAAUAACUUCUCAUCUCAUGUUAUAACAAAGUACUAUAGUUGGCAAGUUUGACCUAUUUACUUUAGGAUCUAUUGAUUCGGGCAACGUUUGUCAAACAGGCCCAAACAAUUCUUUUUAACUUCGUAAAAUCUUAUAAAUCAUUUUUAAACAGGUUAGGAGAUGAUUGAUAUAGUAUAUGUGUUGUAAUAAUAUUGACCCUUGUUUAUAUAACAAUAGAGAUUCUGGACUGUAAAAUUACCUCUUUUUUACCUGAUUCUUGUUACCCGACUUGCCUGACGUGCCAAUUUUCCAUGUCUAUUAAAAUUGUUCCAUGACUUUCAUCGAACUCAUACAUAAGUCUUUGAACUUUAUUUUUAUAUGAAAAUUUAAAAAAAAAAACUAUACCUAUUUUUUAACAAAAUUUUUUAUUUUUGCGUGUUGAAGUAAACUUAUAGAAAAUAUCAAAUAUGCCCCUUUUGCAUGAUUAGGUCCCUAAACUUGUAUGAAAAACAUCAUUAGCCUAAUUGGUAAGUAAACAUGUUAGAAAAUAUCUUCAUUUGCCUUUUUAAUAGCGGUGGCUGAAUGGGUGAGUUAAGUAAUGGGUCAAAAUGGUCAAAAUACGGGCUAGGCCAACCUACACUCACUCUUUUUGUUCAUUUCUUCGAUUUUUAAAGUUUCAUAUGUGUAUAAUAUGACUUAACUAAAUUAGUUAGAUCUUCUAUUAAAAAAGUAUUUUAAGAAAAAGGGCCGGGCCUGUGGCCUAGUGGUACCAAGGUUUACCUCCUUAUGUGGUUUAGAGGGUGCGUGAGUUAGCCAUACAAAAAUAAUAAUAAACGCAUUUUAGGAGGUCUUUAAGAAUUUGAGUACAAUAUGUAUAGCUUCCAACUUGUUUGACCCAUUUUCCUUUUUGUUAAACCAUUUGACCUGUUAGAUGUAAGAUAUACAUGGGUUCAAACUGCCACCUCACUAGUUUAUGUGUAGGUUUGUGGUAGCGCUACACUGUAUAUUAAAUUUUCAAUACUCUUGGAGGAGAUGGUUUAGUCGUUGAAACUGAUAAAGAUGUAAAGGUUCUUUGAUUGGACAUUAUCUUUUAAAAUACAAACUUUAUGCCUAUUUAUAGAAGUGCGAUUUCAACCAUUUGAUAAAGAAUUGGUUAAUGAGGGACUUGGGUUGUAUUCUAUCUCAAACAGAAUUAAUAGCUUAUAAUGAAACGAGUCAAAUGGGAUAGACCAUUUGAAAGACGUCCCGUGUGCUUUACAAUACAUAAAACCUCCCAAACAAUGUUUUAAAAUCCGGUUUUUAUACCGUACCGGAUUCGGCUCAGAAACGGUUUAACCGGGUGUAUAGGGCGGUUCAACCAAGUGUACCAGACAGUUUAACCGGUUCUACCGGUAUAGCCGGCCGGUGUGAACCGGUUUUUAAAACAUUGCUCCCAAAUCAUUUUAUUCAAGGAAAUAGAUUCUUUUCAGAAUAAUACAAUAAUACUUUGACACUAGGUAUCUAUAAACCCAAUCCGGCCUGUUUUAGCCUAGCCGCCCAUUUUGCCUCUUCUACCUGCUUUUCAUCCGUCGUGGCUGAUUAUCGUGUUCUUGUAUGAGCUUCAGUUCUGUAAUGGUCCUUACUGCCCGUGUAGCUAACUGAAGUUGAAACAAAAUAUGCGGUAAAUGUUGUGCUCCAAUACAACAUGCUUUGGGCUAAGAAAAAUUUUCUGAGGGGUCCUAGCUCAACUGUUGGCAUAUUUUUUAAUGUGUCAAGUUUUUUGUCAAAUAGGUAAAAGCUUCUCUUCUCUCAUCAUAUGGUAUUAAAAAGUACCAGAGUUGGCAUUUUGACCCAAGUAUUUUUUGGAUUGGUCGAUUCAGGUUCCAUAUGUCAAAUGGGUAUUCUCAUCUAAAAGGUUUUUUAAUUUGUAAAGUGCUCUAAAUUGUUUUUGUUGAAAGCCUGAAAGGUGUAAAGAUAUCUUCAGUUUCAUUAUUAGUAAUAAUAAUAAUAAUAGUGUUACAUAUUAUGUAUCUUAUGUUGUGUUCGUAUGUUUUUUUAUGUAUAAUGGGCUGGAGUGAUUGGGCUUCAGAAGACAACUUGAAGGUAGAUUGGGCUUGAAGAUUGUUGGGCUGCUGGACUUAAAGAAUGAUGUUGAAAUGUUCAACCUGAACCCUACCCAUAUUAUUAUUCGGGUCAAAGACUUCAACUCUAACCCAACUCUAACCCGACCCACAUAAAUUUGGGUCAACCCAAACCUGACCCGUUUAACCCGUAUUUUUAAAUGAGUCAUAUAAGUUGACGAUAUAUAAACGAGUUGUUGGGUUUUAAGUGGGUUAUCGAUAACAUGUUUAAUGAUGAGUAUGAGAGUGACAAAUAAAUAAUACAAUUUAUCAAAAUCAACAUUAUUAUAACUAACAGUGUAAAAUAGAAACGGAAAAAA